RNAcentral lists this ribosomal RNA (252 nucleotides) under uncultured bacterium. RNAcentral describes it as "partial 16S ribosomal RNA". It matches the Rfam family "Bacterial small subunit ribosomal RNA", at positions 524 to 776 of the family's 1533-position model. The record is from RNAcentral.
UACGUAGGGGGCUAGCGUUAUCCGGAAUUACUGGGCGUAAAGGGUGCGUAGGUGGUUUCUUAAGUCAGAGGUGAAAGGCUACGGCUCAACCGUAGUAAGCCUUUGAAACUGGGAAACUUGAGUGCAGGAGAGGAGAGUGGAAUUCCUAGUGUAGCGGUGAAAUGCUUAGAUAUUAGGAGGAACACCAGUUGCGAAGGCGGCUCUCUGGACUGUAACUGACACUGAGGCACGAAAGCGUGGGGAGCAAACAGG